GACGAACGCUGGCGGCGUGCUUAACACAUGCAAGUCGAACGGAAAGGCCCUGCUUUUGUGGGGUGCUCGAGUGGCGAACGGGUGAGUAACACGUGAGUAACCUGCCCUUGACUUUGGGAUAACUUCAGGAAACUGGGGCUAAUACCGGAUAGGAGCUCCUGCUGCAUGUUGGGGGUUGGAAAGUUUCGGCGGUUGUGGAUGGACUCGCGGCUUAUCAGCUUGUUGGUGGGGUAGUGGCUUACCAAGGCUUUGACGGGUAGCCGGCCUGAGAGGGUGACCGGCCACAAUGGGACUGAGAUACGGACCAGACUCCUACGGGAGGCAGCAGUGGGGAAUAUUGCACAAUGGGCGGAAGCCUGAUGCAGCAACGCCGCGUGCGGGAUGACGGCCUUCGGGUUGUAAACCGCUCUCGCAUGUGACGAAGCGUGAGUGACGGUAAUGGGUAAAGAAGCACCGGCUAACUACGUG
RNAcentral lists this ribosomal RNA (468 nucleotides) under uncultured bacterium. RNAcentral's name for it is "partial 16S ribosomal RNA". It matches the Rfam family "Bacterial small subunit ribosomal RNA", at positions 28 to 507 of the family's 1533-position model. The record is from RNAcentral.